UUGUCUUUUAAAUAGAGACCUGUAUGAAUGGCAUAACGAGGGUUUAACUGUCUCCCUCCCCCAGUCAAUGAAAUUGAUCUGCCCGUGCAGAAGCGGACAUAAACACAUAAGACGAGAAGACCCUAUGGAGCUUUAGACAAAAGAUCAAACAUGUAAAGAAACCAAACCAACCAAAAGGAACACAAAGGCCACAAAACCCAACGUAAAAUGAUCAAAAUGUCUUCGGUUGGGGCGACCAUGGGGGAAAGAAAAGCCCCCACGAGGAACUAAGGGCAAUCCAUUAAGCCAAGAGAUACACCUCUAAGCAACAGAAAAUCUGACCAAAAAUGACCCAGGACACUAAUCCUGAUCAACGAACCAAGUUACCCUAGGGAUAACAGCGCAAUCCUUUCCCAGAGUCCAUAUCGACGAAAGGGUUUACGACCUCGAUGUUGGAUCAGGACAUCCUAAUGGUGCAGCCGCUAUUAAGGGUUCGUUUGUUCAACGAUUAACAGUCCUAC
Molecule: ribosomal RNA, 500 nt
Filed under: Anguilla marmorata (giant mottled eel)
Lineage: Eukaryota; Metazoa; Chordata; Actinopteri; Anguilliformes; Anguillidae
Description: partial 16S rRNA
Rfam family: Bacterial large subunit ribosomal RNA
Source: RNAcentral